This 497-nucleotide ribosomal RNA is filed under the name uncultured bacterium. RNAcentral describes it as "partial 16S ribosomal RNA". It matches the Rfam family "Bacterial small subunit ribosomal RNA", at positions 28 to 507 of the family's 1533-position model. The record is from RNAcentral.
GAUGAACGCUGGCGGCGUGCCUAAUACAUGCAAGUCGAGCGAACGGACGAGAAGCUUGCUUCUCUGAUGUUAGCGGCGGACGGGUGAGUAACACGUGGAUAACCUACCUAUAAGACUGGGAUGACUUCGGGAAACCGGAGCUAAUACCGGAUGAUAUUUUGAACCGCAUGGUUCAAAAGUGAAAGACGGUCUUGCUGUCACUUAUAGAUGGAUCCGCGCUGCAUUAGCUAGUUGGUAAGGUAACGGCUUACCAAGGCAACGAUGCAUAGCCGACCUGAGAGGGUGAUCGGCCACACUGGAUCUGAGACACGGUCCAGACUCCUACGGGAGGCAGCAGUAGGGAAUCUUCCGCAAUGGGCGAAAGCCUGACGGAGCAACGCCGCGUGAGUGAUGAAGGUCUUCGGAUCGUAAAACUCUGUUAUUAGGGAAGAACAUAUGUGUAAGUAACUGUGCACAUCUUGAUGGUACCUAAUCAGAAAGCCACGGCUAACUACGUG